AAAAAAAACUCAAGUUUUUGUGAUCAUGGCUGCGUAAGUUUAUACAACUAUACUCCUCUUUUUAUUAUAUUUGAUUUUCCUUUUACCCUAUAGUAAACUCAAGUUUUUGUGAUCAUGACUGCAAAUAUUUCAUUGAUUCGAGGAAUUAAUUCAAGCAAAAACGAUUGGAAAAUAAAAGUACGUGUUUCAAGGCUUUUUGAUGUGCUAAACUUCACUAAACAAAAUAGUGUAAUUAGUCUGGACAUGGUCUUAAUUGACGAAGAGUGCUUAAGGGCCUAGGGGAGGAUGAUAUGAUAUGAUCGUAUUGGUGGAAUUCUGCUCCAGAGGAACUAAUGCUUAUGGUAUCAUGCUGUAACAUGGCAAAGUUCCACUCUCAAAAUAAUUUAUCUUUUUUUUAUCGGCUAUUUAUGUCUUCGACUUUGAAAAUAUUUUACUAAGUAUUUAUUUAUCUAUUUAGAUUUCGAACAAAAUUUAUCUCUUAUUAUUUU
This is a long non-coding RNA of Spinacia oleracea (spinach), 488 nucleotides long. RefSeq lists it as uncharacterized. The transcript is spliced from 3 exons. The record is from RefSeq and is a predicted model, not a curated record. Lineage: Eukaryota; Viridiplantae; Streptophyta; Magnoliopsida; Caryophyllales; Amaranthaceae.